AUGUCUGAACUUAGAGAUCCAUCAAGUAAUUAUGGCCAAUUCAAAAAGUUGUUUUUACCCAAACGGCUGCAGCGCACUCACUGCAAAAUCCCAUGGACAUCGACUUCGCGAGGAGAGGAGCAAAUUCUUGGCAAGGAAAGAAGAAUGUCAGCCAUGUCUGCUCGUGCUACAGCUACUGCUCGGCCUCCGUCCUGCCGCUCCAUCAGCAGCAACGGCUGCCCACAGGAAGAGGAGGCGCGGACGUGGGAGGAAAAGCUUGCGGAUCCCAUGGGGAGGCGACAGCCGCGACGUUCAUUGAGGCGGCGCCGGAGCUCGUCGGGUGGUUGGGAUCCGGGGACGGCGGGGCUGGUGGAUGAGAGGCGCGGCGGCGGAUCCCGAGGCAGGGGCGGCGCGGCGGCCGCUCCCGGAGCGGGGAGGGGAGUGGAGGCCACGAACGGGGCCUGUCCUCAGCUAUAG
This 456-nucleotide ribosomal RNA is filed under the name Triticum aestivum (bread wheat). Its description in RNAcentral is "partial small subunit ribosomal RNA". Lineage: Eukaryota; Viridiplantae; Streptophyta; Magnoliopsida; Poales; Poaceae. The record is from RNAcentral.